GAGACGGCUAGGGACAGGGAGCCGUGGCUGAGAAAAGGGUAACAUGCUUCCUCUCCUUCCUGGCGAAGCGUGAGAGCCAGUGAUGUGCAGGGAGAAACUCAGAAGGCUCGGCGCCUUUUCUGCUACUCAUCCCACAGAAGAAACACAAUGCCAGAGGAAAGAGCGCUGCUUCCCAAACUCGCGGGACCGGGGGUGUGACAAGAACGCCUCGGAAAGGCUAGAUUUGAGCCCAAGGUAGAGACAGGGGCCAUAGCUGCUAGUAGGAGUCUUAGCUUUCUUGGGAAAAAGAAAGAAAAAAAAUUAAGAUGGUGAAAAAUGCUUGCCAUCCUGCAGGAUUGAAUUAUCAACGUUUGGGAGAAGUGAAAGAGGGCAUAGGGCUGCCAGGCAGGACCGCAGCUGGGAGGGGCCCAGCCCUGGGGCCUCCCCACACCUAUCUUCUUGGAAGGAGCUGGAUGUUGCUGAAGCAAAGUUGAAAAAUGAAAAAGGAUAACCUUUUCCCUUUCCCCAUCCAGGAAAUAGCUGAAGGAGGCCCUACACCCGAACUGAGCCCACCCUGCUCAGGGGAAGACCUGACGGGUGCUAAGGCCACCUGGAAUGCCAAGUCCGAGUUGUAUUUCUUAAAGAGAUCGAGUGGAUGAGGCUGUGACAUUGGCCCCUGCCGACUGGUUUCCCACGAGCUGUUCUUUCUCAGGAGCUCCACAAAGCGGAGCCAUCUCCAGAAAGCAAUCUUCAGUAUGUAUUUCCUUUUAUCCUCAACCCAGAGCCCCACGGCAGCUAAUGCAAAAGGCCAAAAAUGUUUUGGAGGAAGAAAAACAAAGGCAGGAAGUGGCGGCGGCCUGACGGUGCGUGUGUGUCUGCGGAGAAGGGAGGGAGCCGUUUCAAUCUCUUCUUGUUGUUUUUCCAAACUUCAAGGUCUAGGCAGCCCUCGCAGGGCCGGGCCCUUUCGUUCCCCAAGCCGCGUUUGGAGAUGGCCACCCGGAGAGGAGAAGGCUGGCGCCCCCGCAUCAGCGUGGUCAGGCGGAAACGGCUAAGGAGGCGAUUUGCUCAGCAAAGCAGACCGAGCCUUUGCAAGGCUCCGUGUGAUUUGGUCUUAAAUGGGGGGGGGGUGGGGGGUGGGGGUUGAGGGGUUCGGCAGCACCUCCCGGAUCCUCCUGCUGGGGCUGAAUGCAUCUUGGUGCAGAUGAUUCCUGCGUCCUACACUCCACCCACCUCCCCAGGCAGGAUACUGGAAUAAAUUGUGUCCAGGUGCCUCUGCCCAGCA
Long non-coding RNA from Herpailurus yagouaroundi (jaguarundi), 1261 nucleotides. RefSeq lists it as uncharacterized. The record is from RefSeq and is a predicted model, not a curated record. The transcript has 2 exons. Lineage: Eukaryota; Metazoa; Chordata; Mammalia; Carnivora; Felidae.